CGACGCUUGUGAAAUCAACAAUGAAAAUGGCGAAACGAAACUUGUGAAUCGUGCAUUUGCUCUUCAUGGUAGCUGCCAAAAAAUCGAAUCAAACUUAUGGGACACUGGAUUACAGGUUGCUGCCACUACUCCAUGUGCCCGCAAUUGUCUUGCGUGUAUGAUUACACUAACGGCGUCGCCCACCACGGCGGAAGUGUUUUGCGUACACGCGUUUCAGCAUGAAGCCUGCAGGUGGACGUAAAUUGUAGAAGGCAGCUAGUGGGGGAGAAGAUCAUGGUCAUAGGUCAUGUGACUCCUGGAGCUCCCAGUGGGUUCCCUUGUGGAGUACUUUUCAGAACACACACACACACACAGUUUGCUCACAGAACCAACGAGUAGGAUGUUGCUUGAAUACUGAGAGAAAAUGGCGUAACACAUACAAAUAUCGUGUG
This is a long non-coding RNA of Ornithodoros turicata, 431 nucleotides long. RefSeq lists it as uncharacterized. The record is from RefSeq and is a predicted model, not a curated record. NCBI's taxonomy places the organism in Eukaryota, Metazoa, Arthropoda, Arachnida, Ixodida, Argasidae. The transcript has 3 exons.